This 31-nucleotide non-coding RNA is filed under the name Mus musculus (house mouse). The record is from RNAcentral. Lineage: Eukaryota; Metazoa; Chordata; Mammalia; Rodentia; Muridae.
UCCUUUUACGUGCUGUGUAAAACUUGAGGGU